GGUCUGAGAGGAUGACCAGCCACACUGGGACUGAGACACGGCCCAGACUCCUACGGGAGGCAGCAGUGGGGAAUCUUGCGCAAUGGGCGAAAGCCUGACGCAGCCAUGCCGCGUGAAUGAUGAAGGUCUUAGGAUUGUAAAAUUCUUUCACCGGGGACGAUAAUGACGGUACCCGGAGAAGAAGCCCCGGCUAAUUUCGUGCCAGCAGCCGCGGUAAUACGAAGGGGGCUAGCGUUGCUCGGAAUUACUGGGCGUAAAGGGCGCGUAGGCGGAUCGUUAAGUCAGAGGUGAAAUCCCAGGGCUCAACCCUGGAACUGCCUUUGAUACUGGCGAUCUUGAGUAUGAGAGAGGUAU
Molecule: ribosomal RNA, 354 nt
Filed under: bacterium LimB-10-J-162
Lineage: Bacteria
Description: bacterial SSU rRNA
Rfam family: Bacterial small subunit ribosomal RNA
Source: RNAcentral